Molecule: unclassified non-coding RNA, 367 nt
Filed under: uncultured Tremellaceae
Lineage: Eukaryota; Fungi; Basidiomycota; Tremellomycetes; Tremellales; Tremellaceae
Description: sequence contains ITS1
Rfam family: 5.8S ribosomal RNA (bases 1-105)
Source: RNAcentral
GAAAUGCGAUAAGUAAUGUGAAUUGCAGAAUUCAGUGAAUCAUCGAAUCUUUGAACGCACCUUGCGCUCCUUGGUAUUCCGAGGAGCAUGCCUGUUUGAGUGUCAUGAAAACCCUCAACCUUAGAUUGGUUAAAACCUUUCUUUGGCUUGGAUUUGGACGUUUGCCGAUGAUAAGUCGGCUCGUCUUAAAAGUAAUAGCUGGAUCUGUCUCGCGACAUGGUUUGACCUGGCGUAAUAAGUUAUUUGCUAAGGACAUCUUCGGAUGGCCGCGUUGCAAGACUAAAGGCCGCUUUCUAAUUCAUUGAACUUACGAUUAAUAUUCUUGACAUCUGGCCUCAAAUCAGGUAGGACUACCCGCUGAACUUAA